RNAcentral lists this ribosomal RNA (393 nucleotides) under uncultured bacterium. RNAcentral's name for it is "bacterial SSU rRNA". It matches the Rfam family "Bacterial small subunit ribosomal RNA", at positions 30 to 423 of the family's 1533-position model. The record is from RNAcentral.
CGAACGCUGGCGGCGUGGAUAAGACAUGCAAGUCGAACGAAGAAUCUCAAUAGCUUGCUAAUGAGAUUUUUAGUGGCGGACGGGUUAGUGACACGUGAGAUACCUACCCUUUAGACAGGAAUAGCCCAUGGAAACGUGGAAUAAUACCUGAUAGUCUCUACGGAGUAAAUGAUGCCUUCGGGUGUCGCUAAAGGAUGGGCUCGCGGCCUAUCAGUUUGUUGGUGAGGUAAAGGCUCACCAAGACUACGACGGGUAGCUGGUCUGAGAGGACGAUCAGCAACACUGGAACUGAGACACGGUCCAGACACCUACGGGUGGCAGCAGUCGAGAAUCAUUCACAAUGGAGGAAACUCUGAUGGUGCAACGCCGCGUGGAGGAUGACGGCCCUAGGGU